UCGCACUUCGGGAUAAGCCUGGGAAACUGGGUCUAAUACCGGAUAGGACUAUGGACUUCACGGUUUGUGGUGGAAAGCUUUUGCGGUGUGGGAUGGGCCCGCGGCCUAUCAGCUUGUUGGUGGGGUAAUGGCCUACCAAGGCGACGACGGGUAGCCGGCCUGAGAGGGUGUCCGGCCACACUGGGACUGAGAUACGGCCCAGACUCCUACGGGAGGCAGCAGUGGGGAAUAUUGCACAAUGGGCGCAAGCCUGAUGCAGCGACGCCGCGUGAGGGAUGACGGCCUUCGGGUUGUAAACCUCUUUCAAUAGGGACGAAGCGCAAGUGACGGUACCUAUAGAAGAAGCACCGGCCAACUACGUG
Molecule: ribosomal RNA, 362 nt
Filed under: uncultured bacterium
Lineage: Bacteria
Description: bacterial SSU rRNA
Rfam family: Bacterial small subunit ribosomal RNA
Source: RNAcentral